Molecule: ribosomal RNA, 541 nt
Filed under: Salmonella enterica
Lineage: Bacteria; Pseudomonadati; Pseudomonadota; Gammaproteobacteria; Enterobacterales; Enterobacteriaceae
Description: partial 23S ribosomal RNA
Rfam family: Bacterial large subunit ribosomal RNA
Source: RNAcentral
UGUUUCGGCUAGGGGGCCAUCCCGGCUUACCAACCCGAUGCAAACUGCGAAUACCGGAGAAUGUUAUCACGGGAGACACACGGCGGGUGCUAACGUCCGUCGUGAAGAGGGAAACAACCCAGACCGCCAGCUAAGGUCCCAAAGUCAUGGUUAAGUGGGAAACGAUGUGGGAAGGCCCAGACAGCCAGGAUGUUGGCUUAGAAGCAGCCAUCAUUUAAAGAAAGCGUAAUAGCUCACUGGUCGAGUCGGCCUGCGCGGAAGAUGUAACGGGGCUAAACCAUGCACCGAAGCUGCGGCAGCGACGCUGAUGCGUUGUUGGGUAGGGGAGCGUUCUGUAAGCCUGUGAAGGUGGCCUGUGAGGGUUGCUGGAGGUAUCAGAAGUGCGAAUGCUGACAUAAGUAACGAUAAAGCGGGUGAAAAGCCCGCUCGCCGGAAGACCAAGGGUUCCUGUCCAACGUUAAUCGGGGCAGGGUGAGUCGACCCCUAAGGCGAGGCCGAAAGGCGUAGUCGAUGGGAAACGGGUUAAUAUUCCCGUACUUGG